AAGAGGCACAUUGGCAGGUAACGAGCGGCGGCGGCGGCUGCGGUCCCGAGUUCAGCGUGAACAGCGGCGAUUUUCUAUUUUGUACAUACAUUGUUUUGUAUAUACUGUAUAUGAUGACUUCGGUGAGCAGUGACCGUUCCCGAGGUUCUCGGGAAAAAACACAGAUUUCAGCGACACAGGCAACACAACUACAGAAACAAGUAGUACAGGCAACAGCUGAACAGAUGCGUCUUGCUCAAGUGAUCUUUGAUAAAAAUGAUUCAGAGUUUGAAGCUAAUGUUAAACAGGUAA
Hipposideros armiger (great roundleaf bat) is the source of this 291-nucleotide long non-coding RNA. RefSeq lists it as uncharacterized. NCBI's taxonomy places the organism in Eukaryota, Metazoa, Chordata, Mammalia, Chiroptera, Hipposideridae. The transcript has 3 exons. The record is from RefSeq and is a predicted model, not a curated record.